AGAGUUUGAUCAUGGCUCAGAAUGAACGCUGGCGGCGUGCUUAACACAUGCAAGUCGUACGAGAACUCUUUAGCUUGCUAAAGAUAGUAAAGUGGCGCACGGGUGAGUAACGCGUGGGUAAUCUUCUUUCAAAUUUGGGAUAACUCGCCGAAAGGCGGGCUAAUACCUGAUAAUAUCUAUUUAAUCUUGGUUUGAUAGAUUAAAGGUGGCCUCUAUGUAUAAGCUACUGUUUGAAAAUGAGCCCGCGUACCAUUAGCUUGUUGGUAGGGUAAUGGCCUACCAAGGCUACGAUGGUUAGCUGGUCUGAGAGGAUGAUCAGCCACACUGGAACUGACACACGGUCCAGACUCCUACGGGAGGCAGCAGUGAGGAAUUUUGCGCAAUGGGGGAAACCCUGACGCAGCAACGCCGCGUGAGUGAUGAAGGCCUUCGGGUCGUAAAACUCUGUCAAGUGGGAAGAAUAUGAUCAAUGAUAAUACCAUUAAUUACUGACGGUACCACUGAAGGAAGCACCGGCUAACUCCGUGCCAGCAGCCGCGGUAAUACGGAGGGUGCAAGCGUUAUUCGGAAUUAUUGGGCGUAAAGGGCGCGUAGGCGGUUUUUUAAGUCAGAUGUGAAAGCCCGGGGCUUAACCUCGGAAGUGCAUUUGAAACUGAAAGACUUGAGUAUGGGAGAGGGAAGUGGAAUUCCUGGUGUAGAGGUGAAAUUCGUAGAUAUCAGGAGGAACACCGGUGGCGAAGGCGACUUCCUGGACCAAUACUGACGCUGAGGCGCGAAGGCGUGGGUAGCAAACAGGAUUAGAUACCCUGGUAGUCCACGCAGUAAACGGUGAACACUAGGUGUAGCGGGUAUUGACCCCUGCUGUGCCGCAGUUAACGCAUUAAGUGUUCCGCCUGGGAAGUACGAUCGCAAGAUUAAAACUCAAAGGAAUUGACGG
Molecule: ribosomal RNA, 937 nt
Filed under: uncultured bacterium
Lineage: Bacteria
Description: bacterial SSU rRNA
Rfam family: Bacterial small subunit ribosomal RNA
Source: RNAcentral